UACAGGGGGGGCAAGCGUUGUUCGGAAUUACUGGGCGUAAAGGGCUCGUAGGCGGCCAACUAAGUCCGACGUGAAAUCCCAAAGCUUAACUUUGGAACUGCGUCGGAUACUGGAUGGCUUGAAUUCGGGAGAGGGAUGCAGAAUUCCAGGUGUAGCGGUGAAAUGCGUAGAUAUCUGGAGGAAUACCGGUGGCGGAGGCGGCAUCCUGGACCGACAUUGACGCUGAGGAGCGAAAGCUAGGGGAGCAAACGGG
This 253-nucleotide ribosomal RNA is filed under the name uncultured bacterium. Its description in RNAcentral is "partial 16S ribosomal RNA". It matches the Rfam family "Bacterial small subunit ribosomal RNA", at positions 524 to 776 of the family's 1533-position model. The record is from RNAcentral.